Molecule: ribosomal RNA, 377 nt
Filed under: uncultured bacterium
Lineage: Bacteria
Description: bacterial SSU rRNA
Rfam family: Bacterial small subunit ribosomal RNA
Source: RNAcentral
UAAUACGUAGGGGGCUAGCGUUGUCCGGAUUUAUUGGGCGUAAAGAGCGCGUAGGCGGCUAGGUAAGUCCGACGUGAAAUCUGGAGGCUCAACCUCCAGCGGUCGUUGGAAACUACUUGGCUAGAGUCCGGAAGAGGAGAGUGGAAUUCCUGGUGUAGCGGUGAAAUGCGCAGAUAUCAGGAAGAACACCGAUGGCGAAAGCAGCUCUCUGGGACGGUACUGACGCUGAGGCGCGAAAGCGUGGGGAGCGAACAGGAUUAGAUACCCUGGUAGUCCACGCCGUAAACGAUGGGUGCUAGGUGUGAGCGGUGUCGACUCCGCUCGUGCCGAAGCUAACGCAUUAAGCACCCCGCCUGGGGAGUACGGCCGCAAGGCUA